AUUGAACGCUGGCGGCAUGCCUUACACAUGCAAGUCGAACGGCAGCACGGGGGCAACCCUGGUGGCGAGUGGCGAACGGGUGAGUAAUGCAUCGGAACGUGCCCAGUAGUGGGGGAUAACUAGUCGAAAGAUUAGCUAAUACCGCAUACGACCUAUGGGUGAAAGCGGGGGAUUCGCAAGAACCUCGCGCUAUCGGAGCGGCCGAUGUCUGAUUAGCUAGUUGGCGGGGUAAAGGCCCACCAAGGCUUCGAUCAGUAGCUGGUCUGAGAGGACGACCAGCCACACUGGGACUGAGACACGGCCCAGACUCCUACGGGAGGCAGCAGUGGGGAAUUUUGGACAAUGGGCGCAAGCCUGAUCCAGCCAUGCCGCGUGC
This 376-nucleotide ribosomal RNA is filed under the name uncultured bacterium. Its description in RNAcentral is "bacterial SSU rRNA". It matches the Rfam family "Bacterial small subunit ribosomal RNA", at positions 30 to 404 of the family's 1533-position model. The record is from RNAcentral.